UCGAUGAUGAAAUCAUUGUUGACGGGUGUUGGAGAAUGGUGACGCGUGUGCCGGCAAGGUUGCAUCGUACACUCACAAAUCUCAUAUCUUGUUUUUAGUUUUUCAAAGGUUGAGUGCUUCAAAAUUGUUUGUGUUUGUUGGCUACGUAUGGUUUCGCGAAAGAUACGGAAAAGGAAACUGGGAAGUGAUUGAAGUUGCGGAAGGAGGACUCAUCACUACUCACCUAUAGAGUGAUCAAAGAAAAUUUUUGGAAAACAAAGCAAAGGACAUGCGCAAUGGGGUCUACCAUUUCCAGAGUGCACGUGAUAUAUUCUACAAUAAUUAAAGCAGAUGGAACAUUGUUGCUGUAAAUCAACGAAGACAGCAAUAACGGUGAAAUAAAGGUCCAUUUUUUUCAAGUUUUUUCUUUAUCAGAGAGUAUUUACUAUUCAGAAGGCUCGUUAUAUUUUUUAAAAGUAAUUUAGAAUAGAGAAAAACAGAAAUGUGAUUACAAUUAAGAAAUGUGAUUAUCAAAAAGCUGAUUAGAUAAAGACAAAUCAAUUCCAGUCCCUAGUCGGCAACUUCUUAAGAUAAAACAUUUAUAUUUCAUCUGCAGCUAUUGUAACAGUUAUAUAUAUAUAUAUAUAUUGUAUUAUUAUCAUUA
This is a long non-coding RNA of Vigna angularis (adzuki bean), 643 nucleotides long. RefSeq lists it as uncharacterized. The transcript is spliced from 2 exons. The record is from RefSeq and is a predicted model, not a curated record. Lineage: Eukaryota; Viridiplantae; Streptophyta; Magnoliopsida; Fabales; Fabaceae.